This 748-nucleotide ribosomal RNA is filed under the name uncultured Halanaerobiaceae bacterium. RNAcentral's name for it is "bacterial SSU rRNA". It matches the Rfam family "Bacterial small subunit ribosomal RNA", at positions 575 to 1321 of the family's 1533-position model. The record is from RNAcentral. Lineage: Bacteria; Bacillati; Bacillota; Clostridia; Halanaerobiales; Halanaerobiaceae.
GCGGAUAUACAAGUCAAAUGUGAAAGGUGUAGGCUUAACCUACAGACUGCGUUUGAAACUGUAUAUCUUGAGAGCAGCAGAGGAAGGCGGAAUUCCUGGUGUAGUGGUGAAAUACGUAGAUAUCAGGAAGAACACCAGUGGCGAAGGCGGUCUUCUGGGCUGCAUCUGACGCUCAUGUACGAAAGCUGGGGUAGCGAACGGGAUUAGAUACCCCGGUAGUCCCAGCUGUAAACGAUGGUCACUAGGUGUUGGCGGUUCGAAUCCGUCAGUGUCGGAGUUAACGCAUUAAGUGACCCGCCUGGGGAAUACGGUCGCAAGACUGAAACUCAAAGGAAUUGACGGGGGCCCGCACAAGCGGUGGAGCAUGUGGUUUAAUUCGAUGCAACGCGAAGAACCUUACCGAGAAUUGACAUCCCGUGACUACCUGUGAGAGCAGGGUUUGGCACUUUGUGCCACACGGAGACAGGUGGUGCAUGGCUGUCGUCAGCUCGUGUCGUGAGAUGCUGGGUUAAGUCCCGCAACGAGCGCAACCCUUGUCCUUAGUUGCCAGCAAGUGAUGUUGGGGACUCUAAGGAGACUGCCGGUGAAAGUCGGAGGAAGGUGGGGAUGACGUCAAGUCCUCAUGCCCUUUAUAUCUCGGGCUACACACGUGCUACAAUGGUCGGAACAGAGGGAGGCGAGACCGCGAGGUCAAGCUAAUCUUGAAAACCGAUCUCAGUUCGGAUUGCAGGCUGCAACCCGCCUGCAU